AGAAGAAUGGUACCCUCGUGAGGGUAUUUGACGGUACUGCGUGAAUAAGCACCGGCUAACUCCGUGC
RNAcentral lists this ribosomal RNA (67 nucleotides) under uncultured bacterium. RNAcentral's name for it is "partial 16S ribosomal RNA". The record is from RNAcentral.